CAGCACCUCAAGUGGUCAGGAUGAUUAUUGGGCCUAAAGCAUCCGUAGCCGGCGCUGUAAGUUUUCGGUUAAAUCUGUACGCUCAACGUACAGGCUGCCGGGAAUACUGCAGCGCUAGGGAGUGGGAGAGGUAGACGGUACUCGGUAGGAAGGGGUAAAAUCCUUUGAUCUAUUGAUGACCACCUAUGGCGAAGGCGGUCUACCAGAACACGUCCGACGGUGAGGGAUGAAAGCUGGGGGAGCAAACCGGAUUAGAUACCCGAGUAGUCC
RNAcentral lists this ribosomal RNA (270 nucleotides) under uncultured archaeon. RNAcentral's name for it is "partial 16S ribosomal RNA". It matches the Rfam family "Archaeal small subunit ribosomal RNA", at positions 477 to 747 of the family's 1478-position model. The record is from RNAcentral.